UACGAAGGGUGCAACCGUUGCUCGGAAUUAUUGGGCGUAAAGCGCACGUAGGCGGCUAUCUAAGUCGGAUGUGAAAUCCCUCGGCUUAACCAAGGAAGUGCACCCGAAACUGGAUAGCUUGAGUACAGAAGAGGAUCGCGGAAUUCCCGGUGUAGAGGUGAAAUUCGUAGAUAUGACAUAGAACACCAAUUGCGAAGGCAGCUCACUACACAGUUAUUGACGCUGAGGCACGAAAGCGUGGGGAUCAAACAGG
RNAcentral lists this ribosomal RNA (253 nucleotides) under uncultured bacterium. RNAcentral's name for it is "partial 16S ribosomal RNA". It matches the Rfam family "Bacterial small subunit ribosomal RNA", at positions 524 to 776 of the family's 1533-position model. The record is from RNAcentral.